AUUGAACGCUGGCGGAAUGCUUUACACAUGCAAGUCGAACGGCAGCACGGGUGCUUGCACCUGGUGGCGAGUGGCGAACGGGUGAGUAAUACAUCGGAACGUACCCAGUCGUGGGGGAUAACGUAGCGAAAGUUACGCUAAUACCGCAUACGUCCUGAGGGAGAAAGCGGGGGACCGUAAGGCCUCGCACGAUUGGAGCGGCCGAUGGCGGAUUAGCUAGUUGGUGGGGUAAAGGCCUACCAAGGCGACGAUCCGUAGCGGAUCUGAGAGGACGGCCCGCCACACUGGAACUGAGACACGGUGCAGACUCCUACGGGAGGCAGCAGUGGGGAAUUUUGGACAAUGGGCGAAAGCCUGAUCCAGCCAUUCCGCGUGAGUGAAGAAGGCCUUCGGGUUGUAAAGCUCUUUCGGCAGGGAAGAAACGGCUUGGGAUAAUACCCCGGGCUAAUGACGGUACCUGAAGAAGAAGCACCGGCUAACUACGUGCCAGCCGCCGCGGUAA
This 502-nucleotide ribosomal RNA is filed under the name uncultured bacterium. RNAcentral's name for it is "partial 16S ribosomal RNA". It matches the Rfam family "Bacterial small subunit ribosomal RNA", at positions 29 to 523 of the family's 1533-position model. The record is from RNAcentral.